UAUUAUAGGUGAGAAGGAGGAGGAGGAGGAGGAGGAGGAGGAAAGGCUAUGAUAUUUCAGUUUUUCUAGAGAUUAAUUAGAAAAAAAUUAUUUAGAAAAAAAAUACUAUUUUUUCCUCUUUUUCUCCAUCUCCUUCUCCUUCUCUUUUCUCUCCUCUCAUA
RNAcentral lists this microRNA precursor (161 nucleotides) under Marmota monax (woodchuck). Lineage: Eukaryota; Metazoa; Chordata; Mammalia; Rodentia; Sciuridae. The record is from RNAcentral.